This 322-nucleotide long non-coding RNA is filed under the name Brassica rapa (field mustard). Its description in RNAcentral is "long non-coding RNA (BRAP_LNC002770)". The record is from RNAcentral. Lineage: Eukaryota; Viridiplantae; Streptophyta; Magnoliopsida; Brassicales; Brassicaceae.
UUUACAGUAUGGAUCGAUCUAGUAGGGUUCCUCUUGGGUUCUCGUGUGAAUCCUGAUUGGAAUAUCACCGUCGCAUCUCUUCUAUCUCCUCGCAGGAGGGAGAUUGAUACAUGUCUUCUGAAGCUUGCUUUCCAAGCUAGCAUCCAUAGUAUUUGGCGUGAGAGGAACAGCAGGCGCCAUCAAGGUAAUCCCCUCAGUGCAGAUCAAAUGGUUCGGUACAUUGACAAGACAAUUAGGAACAGGAUAUCCUCACUGCGAAAGCGGAAGCCAAACUUCUAUGGUGACAUGAUGCAGCGUUGGCUCAGUCGGGCUUCUUCGCCGC